This 463-nucleotide ribosomal RNA is filed under the name uncultured bacterium. RNAcentral describes it as "partial 16S ribosomal RNA". It matches the Rfam family "Bacterial small subunit ribosomal RNA", at positions 28 to 507 of the family's 1533-position model. The record is from RNAcentral.
GACGAACGCUGGCGGCGUGCUUAACACAUGCAAGUCGAACGGUGAACCUCUUCGGAGGGGAUCAGUGGCGAACGGGUGAGUAACACGUGGGCAACCUGCCCCCGGCUCUGGGAUAACUCCAAGAAAUUGGGGCUAAUACCGGAUGUUCACCGCUUCCCGCAUGGGUGGUGGUGGAAAGGGUUUCCGGCUGGGGAUGGGCCCGCGGCCUAUCAGCUUGUUGGUGGGGUAGUGGCCUACCAAGGCGACGACGGGUAGCCGGCCUGAGAGGGUGACCGGCCACACUGGGGUGGAGACACGGCACGGACUCCGACAGGAGGCAGCGCUGGGGAGUAGUGCGCAAGGGGCUUAAGCCUGACGCAGCGACGCAGCGUGGGGGAAGAAGGCAUUGGGGUUGUAGACGUAGAUCAGCCGGCACGAAACGAGAGUGACGGCACCGGAAGAAGAAGCACCGCACAACUACGUC